AACGAACGCUGGCGGCAUGCCUAACACAUGCAAGUCGAACGAGACCUUCGGGUCUAGUGGCGCACGGGUGCGUAACGCGUGGGAACCUGCCCUUAGGUUCGGAAUAACUCCCCGAAAGGGGUGCUAAUACCGGAUAAUGUCUUCGGACCAAAGAUUUAUCGCCUUUGGAUGGGCCCGCGUCGGAUUAGCUAGUUGGUAGGGUAAAAGCCUACCAAGGCGACGAUCCAUAGCUGGUCUGAGAGGAUGAUCAGCCACACUGGGACUGAGACACGGCCCAGACUCCUACGGGAGGCAGCAGUAGGGAAUAUUGGACAAUGGGCGAAAGCCUGAUCCAGCAAUGCCGCGUAAGUGAUGAAGGCCUUAGGGUUGUAAAGCUCUUUUACCCGGGAUGAUAAUGACAGUACCGGGAGAAUAAGCUCCGGCUAACUCCGUG
RNAcentral lists this ribosomal RNA (433 nucleotides) under uncultured bacterium. Its description in RNAcentral is "partial 16S ribosomal RNA". It matches the Rfam family "Bacterial small subunit ribosomal RNA", at positions 29 to 507 of the family's 1533-position model. The record is from RNAcentral.